AUUGAACGCUGGCGGCAGGCCUAACACAUGCAAGUCGAGCGGAUGAAGGGAGCUUGCUCCUGGAUUCAGCGGCGGACGGGUGAGUAAUGCCUAGGAAUCUGCCUGGUAUUGGGGGAUAACGUCCGGAAACGGGCGCUAAUACCGCAUACGUCCUGAGGGAGAAAGUGGGGGAUCUUCGGACCUCACGCUAUCAGAUGAGCCUAGUUCGGAUUAGCUAGUUGGUGGGGUAAAGGCCUACCAAGGCGGCUAUCCGUAACUGGUCUUGGAGGAUGAUCAGUCACACUGGAACUGAGACACGGUCCAGACUCCUACGGGAGGCAGCAGUGGGGAAUAUUGGACAAUGGGCGAAAGCCUGAUCCAGCCAUGCCGCGUGUGUGAAGAAGGUCUUCGGAUUGUAAAGCACUUUAAGUUGGGAGGAAGGGCAGUAAGUUAAUACCUUGCUGUUUUGACGUUACCAACAGAAUAAGCACCGGCUAACUUCGUG
This 484-nucleotide ribosomal RNA is filed under the name uncultured bacterium. RNAcentral's name for it is "partial 16S ribosomal RNA". It matches the Rfam family "Bacterial small subunit ribosomal RNA", at positions 30 to 507 of the family's 1533-position model. The record is from RNAcentral.